GACGAACGCUGGCGGCGUGCCUAAUACAUGCAAGUUGAGCGCUGAAGGUUGGUACUUGUACCAACUGGGUGAGCAGCGCACGGGUGAGUAACGCGUGGGGCAUCUGCCUUUGAGCGGGGGACAACAUUUGGAAACGAAUGCUAAUACCGCAUAAAAACUUUAAACACAAGGUUUAAGUUUGAAAGAUGCAAUUGCAUCACUCAAAGAUGAUCCCGCGUUGUAUUAGCUAGUUGGUGAGGUAAAGGCUCACCAAGGCGAGGAUACAUAGCCGACCUGAGAGGGUGAUCGGCCACAUUGGGACUGAGACACGGCACAAACGCCUACGGGAGGCAGCAGUAGGGAAUCGUCGGCAAGGGGCGAGAGACUGACCGAGAAACGCCGCGUGAGUGAAGAAGGUUUUCGGAUCGGAAAACACUGUUUGUAGAGAAGAACGCUCGUGAGAGUGGAAAGCUCAUCAAGUGACGGUAACUACUAAGAAAGGGACGGCUAACUACGUG
RNAcentral lists this ribosomal RNA (497 nucleotides) under uncultured bacterium. RNAcentral's name for it is "partial 16S ribosomal RNA". It matches the Rfam family "Bacterial small subunit ribosomal RNA", at positions 28 to 507 of the family's 1533-position model. The record is from RNAcentral.